This 1031-nucleotide ribosomal RNA is filed under the name bacterium NCr-2. RNAcentral's name for it is "bacterial SSU rRNA". It matches the Rfam family "Bacterial small subunit ribosomal RNA", at positions 56 to 1100 of the family's 1533-position model. The record is from RNAcentral.
UGCAGUCGAACGAUGAAGCCCAGCUUGCUGGGUGGAUUAGUGGCGAACGGGUGAGUAACACGUGAGUAACCUGCCCUUGACUCUGGGAUAAGCACUGGAAACGGUGUCUAAUACCGGAUAUUUCAGCUGGCCGCAUGGUCUGGUUGUGGAAAGAAUUUUGGUCAAGGAUGGACUCGCGGCCUAUCAGGUUGUUGGUGAGGUAAUGGCUCACCAAGCCUACGACGGGUAGCCGGCCUGAGAGGGUGACCGGCCACACUGGGACUGAGACACGGCCCAGACUCCUACGGGAGGCAGCAGUGGGGAAUAUUGCACAAUGGGCGAAAGCCUGAUGCAGCAACGCCGCGUGAGGGACGACGGCCUUCGGGUUGUAAACCUCUUUUAGUAGGGAAGAAGCGAAAGUGACGGUACCUGCAGAAAAAGCACCGGCUAACUACGUGCCAGCAGCCGCGGUAAUACGUAGGGUGCAAGCGUUGUCCGGAAUUAUUGGGCGUAAAGAGCUCGUAGGCGGUUUGUCGCGUCUGCUGUGAAAACUGGAGGCUCAACCUCCAGCCUGCAGUGGGUACGGGCAGACUAGAGUGCGGUAGGGGAGAUUGGAAUUCCUGGUGUAGCGGUGGAAUGCGCAGAUAUCAGGAGGAACACCGAUGGCGAAGGCAGAUCUCUGGGCCGUAACUGACGCUGAGGAGCGAAAGCAUGGGGAGCGAACAGGAUUAGAUACCCUGGUAGUCCAUGCCGUAAACGUUGGGAACUAGAUGUGGGGGCCAUUCCACGGUCUCCGUGUCGCAGCUAACGCAUUAAGUUCCCCGCCUGGGGAGUACGGCCGCAAGGCUAAAACUCAAAGGAAUUGACGGGGGCCCGCACAAGCGGCGGAGCAUGCGGAUUAAUUCGAUGCAACGCGAAGAACCUUACCAAGGCUUGACAUAUACGAGAACGGGCCAGAAAUGGUCAACUCUUUGGACACUCGUAAACAGGUGGUGCAUGGUUGUCGUCAGCUCGUGUCGUGAGAUGUUGGGUUAAGUCCCGCAACGAGCGCA